This 2462-nucleotide ribosomal RNA is filed under the name human gut metagenome. RNAcentral's name for it is "bacterial LSU rRNA". It matches the Rfam family "Bacterial large subunit ribosomal RNA", at positions 142 to 2641 of the family's 2925-position model. The record is from RNAcentral.
CUCCAGUUAUCCAUACGCCAAUCCAUAACGUAUGGAAGGGAACCCGGUGAACUGAAACAUCUAAGUAGCCGGAGGAAGAGAAAACAACAUGUGAUUCUGUGAGUAGCGGCGAGCGAAAACGGAAGAGCCCAAACCAGCGUGCGUGCAUGCUGGGGUUCGGACCGCGGAAUUGAUUCAACGAGUUUAGCAGAACGGUUUUGGGAAAGCCGGCCAGAGAGGGUGAAAGCCCCGUAAGCGAAAGACGAGUUGACAUGGCGGGAUCCAGAGUACCACGAGACACGUGGAACCUUGUGGGAAAUCAGGGGGACCACCCCCUAAGGCUAAAUACUACUUAGUGACCGAUAGCGCAUAGUACUGUGAAGGAAAGGUGAAAAGGACCCCGGGAGGGGAGUGAAAGAGAACCUGAAACCCUGUGUCUACAAGCUGUGGAAGUACUUCUCAGGUACGACCGCGUACUUUUUGUAGAACGGUCCGGCGAGUUACGCUUACUGGCAAGGUUAAGCACUUCAGGUGUGGAGCCGUAGGGAAACCAAGUCUUAAGAGGGCCUUAAGUCAGUAGGAGUAGACCCGAAACCGGGUGAUCUAUCCAUGUCCAGGUUGAAGUUGCCGUAAAAGGCAAUGGAGGACCGAACCCACAUCCGUUGAAAAGGGUGGGGAUGAGGUGUGGAUAGGGGAGAAAUUCCAAUCGAACCCGGAGAUAGCUGGUUCUCCUCGAAAUAGCUUUAGGGCUAGCCUCGAUACAGAUUUGCGGAGGUAGAGCACUGAAUUUCCUAGGGGGCGUCAAAGCCUACCGAAGAAUAUCAAACUCCGAAUGCCGUGUAGAUAUCACCGGGAGUCAGACUGCACGAGAUAAGUUGGGCGGUCAAAAGGGAAAGAGCCCAGACCUUCAGUUAAGGUCCCCAAGUGCGCGUUAAGUGGAAAAGGAUGUGGGAUUUCGAAGACAACCAGGAUGUUGGCUCAGAAGCAGCCAUUCAUUCAAAGAGUGCGUAAUAGCUCACUAGUCGAGAGGUCCUGCGCCGAAAAUGUCCGGGGCUGAAACGCGCCACCGAAACUAAGGAACCGAAAGGUUGGUAGAGGAGCAUUGCAUGCGGGAAGAAGCAGUACCGUAAGGAGCUGUGGACUGCAUGGAAGAGAGAAUGCCGGAAUGAGUAGCGAGAAUAAGGUGAGAAUCCUUAUGGCCGAAUAUCCAAGGUUUCCAGAGUAAAGCUGAUCUGCUCUGGGUAAGUCGGGGCCUAAGGCGAGGACGAGAGUCGUAGCCGAUGGACAACAGGUGGAGAUUCCUGUACUGCGGUAUGACAGAACUGUGGGGACACGUAAGGAAAGCGGAAGCCGGGAAUGGAAAGCCCGGUGCAAGCGGGGUACCAGUCACUUUGGCAAAUCCGGGUGGCAAUGGGAAGCCGUGAUGCGGAGCGAAAUAAAGUAGCGAAGUCCGUGAGCCAUGCGUCAAGAAAAGCCGCUAUUGUUUAUACCGUACCCGUACCGUAAACCGACACAGGUGGAUGAGGAGAGAAUCCUAAGGCCGGCGGAAGAAGCAUUGUCAAGGAACUCGGCAAAAUGGCCCCGUAACUUAGGGAUAAGGGGUGCCUGGGAAACCAGGCCGCAGAGAAUAGGCUCAAGCAACUGUUUAGCAAAAACACAGGUCUAUGCGAAACCGAAAGGUGAGGUAUAUGGGCUGACGCCUGCCCGGUGCUGGAAGGUUAAGAGGAGAGGUUAGCGCAAGCGAAGCUUUGAAUUUAAGCCCCAGUAAACGGCGGCCGUAACUAUAACGGUCCUAAGGUAGCGAAAUUCCUUGUCGGGUAAGUUCCGACCCGCACGAAAGGCGUAAUGAUUUGAGCGCUGUCUCGACAAUGCAUCCGGUGAAAUUGAAGUACCAGUGAAGAUGCUGGUUACCUGCGCCAGGACGGAAAGACCCCAUGGAGCUUUACUCCAGCUUGAUACUGGGAUUCGGUAUUGCAUGUACAGGAUAGGUGGGAGGCUAGGAAAUGGUAACGCCAGUUGCCAUGGAGCCGCUGUUGGGAUACCACCCUUGCAGUAUUGGGUUUCUAACCAGCAGCCGUGAUCCGGCUGGGGGACAAUGUCAGGUGGGGAGUUUGACUGGGGCGGUCGCCUCCGAAAGGGUAUCGGAGGCGCUCAAAGGUUCCCUCAGAAUGGUCGGAAACCAUUCGAAGAGUGCAAAGGCAGAAGGGAGCUUGACUGCGACACCGACGGGUGGAGCAGGUACGAAAGUAGGACUUAGUGAUCCGGUGGUAUAAAGUGGGAUUGCCAUCGCUCAACGGAUAAAAGCUACCCUGGGGAUAACAGGCUUAUCACUCCCAAGAGUUCACAUCGACGGAGUGGUUUGGCACCUCGAUGUCGGCUCAUCGCAUCCUGGGGCUGUAGUAGGUCCCAAGGGUUGGGCUGUUCGCCCAUUAAAGCGGUACGCGAGCUGGGUUCAGAACGUCGUGAGACAGUUCGGUCCCUAU